This is a long non-coding RNA of Cyprinus carpio (common carp), 1441 nucleotides long. The record is from Ensembl. NCBI's taxonomy places the organism in Eukaryota, Metazoa, Chordata, Actinopteri, Cypriniformes, Cyprinidae.
ACACACACACACACACACACACACACACACAGGGUGUAGAUAGGCAGCUGUCGUCUGUGUGUCCUCAGGGUUUUACUCAACAAUUAAACUUCCUGUUUACCAAACGGCCAAGUGUGUGUGUGUGUGUGUGUGUGUGUGUGUGUGUGUGUGUGUGUCCUCAUCUACUGCGUUUGAUUCAUAAAUAUCAGAUAAAAAUCUGUCUAUCUACCUACCUACCCACCUAUCUAUCUAUCUAUCUAUCUAUCUAUCUAUCUAUCUAUCUAUCUAUCGUCUGAACACAUGCAGACACAGACACAGACACACAUUUCCUGUCAGACAGAUGGAGUCUGAUUGUCUGCAGGUGUGAAGGGCUUCUGUCUGUCUGUCUGUUCUCCAAAACAGGAAGUCGGGGACUCCCAGCGCUGAGGACUUCCUCUCAGAGAGAGACAGUGAGACGCACCGGCCGCAGAGCACACACAGGAAAGAGAGAGAGUGUGACAUUAACACACAGGUGCCAUUUUUAACCCAGAGCUGUAAACACAGGAAAUGACCUCAUCGCCCACCGUUACCAUCAACAUCACAAUGAAAGCGUCUGAGUGAUCUUCUAGCAUCUAUGACAGAGGCUUCCCCAGUAUGAGCUCUAGUCUAAACCUAAAGCACGGAGGAAACGAUGACGUCUGGACCGGCUCUUCAUUAGCGUCUUCCGCUGCUCCAGUUGCUGUGGUUUUCCCGCCGUUGGCUGUGCGUCGCUGGCAGGCCGGUUUUUCCAGGCCUGUGUUUGUGUUUGAGGGAAGAGAAGGCUGUAAUCAGAGUUUCAAAUGAAUGCCGCGAGAGGAAGCGCUGUGUCUUUUCUUAGCUCCAAACGUUACCGCGCUGCAAAAGGGACAAAUUUUGUGGCUCCCCGCGCGGAAGAGACAAGCUCUGGUGUCCCGGCCUGCUGUGUUUGACAUCUGUAACGGGUUUGGAAGGUCCAACCUAGUGCUCUAGUCUCAAGACCUGAUAGUUGAACACAUUUGAGGAACUCAGACUGUUAUAAAGCACAGAAACAAACUCUGAGCUGCUGUAAGUGUUUGCGAUCGCCUGCUUGAGUGAAGUGUUUUGGGACUAACAGGAUUUAAGAGUUGAAAGCUCUAAAAAAGAUAAAUUGAUAAAUGUAUGAUAAAUUUCAGAUAUUAUUCACUGAGAACUCUCCAAUCUCACAUGCACUUGUGUUGUUGUAACCUGGUGCCUUUAUAAGCAUCUUGCAAACAUUAGUUUUUGUGAAUCGUAAACAAAUCCAGCGUUUCAAAAUGUCAGAGAAGAAGAUUUUCAGUAAAGAUUGAAUAAUGACAAUUAGGUCUGAUACUCACGCAAAAUUAUUAUAUGACUUCAGGUGGAUUGACAUAAUCUACAUUACUGUUUGAAUGUUUAUAGGGUCAGUAAAUACAAUAAAUUGAUUAAAAAGUGAUAGUAAAGAUAUUUA